GUAGCAAACUAAGAAUACUAGGCAUUGCUUUCCGUUAACCAGUGAGACAGUGGGGGAUAAGCUCCAUUGUCGAGAGGGAAACAGCCCAGAUCACCAGCUAAGGCCCCAAAAUGACCGCUAAGUGGUAAAGGAGGUGAGAAUGCUGAAACAACCAGGAGGUUUGCUUAGAAGCAGCCACCCUUUAAAGAGUGCGUAAUAGCUCACUGGUGGAGCGUUCUUGCGCCGAAAAUGAACGGGACUAAGCGGUCUGCCGAAGCUGUGGGUAACAUCAAAAAACAAAGAAAAGACUUAACAUCUGACAUCAGACACCUUUUCAAGGUGUGAAAAGAAGAUUUGCUUCUAACAUUCUUUCCCUAACAUCCCUUUAGGGAUGUCUGAAUGUCUGACACUUUUUCAAAGUGUUAAAGAAGUGAUGUCAAAUCAGACAUCAGUGACAAAAGGAAAGCUUUUGUUAGCCCAGACAAAACCUUCGGUUUUGUUAAGGGUGUUAAAAGAAGAUGUUAGAAUAACAAACUUUCAGUUUGUUAAAUGUCUGACAUCUAACAAAAUUGUAAAUGUUGAAAAGUUCAAUUUGAUGUUACGGUAGGGGAGCGUUCCGCUCUAGGGUGAAGCUCCAACGUAAGUUGGUGUGGACAAAGCGGAAGUGAGAAUGUCGGCUUGAGUAACGAAAACAUUGGUGAGAAUCCAAUGCCCCGAAAACCUAAGGCUUCCUCCACUAGGCUCGUCCAUGGGGGGUUAGUCGGGACCUAAGGCCAGGCCGAAAGGCGUAGUCGAUGGAAAACAGGUUAAUAUUCCUGUACUUCUUUUUAAGUGGUACCGAGGGACGAAGGAGGGAACGGUUGGUCAAUAUUGGAUGUUGACGGAAAUGUUCAAGGUGAUGAGAGAUAGAAUAAAAACUAUUCUUGAGCUGAGACAUGAUACGAUUUUAUUCCCUGUAAGAGAGCUUGCUCAAUUCAAAGUAAAAUUCAAUUAGUUGUCAAACUUCCUAGAAAAGCUCGAACUUCCAAUACUUAAAAAUAACCCGUACCCGAAACCGACACAGGUAGGUAGGUAGAGUAUACCAAGGGGCGCGAGAUAACUCUCUCUAAG
RNAcentral lists this ribosomal RNA (1089 nucleotides) under Trebouxia potteri. RNAcentral's name for it is "LSU rRNA". It matches the Rfam family "Bacterial large subunit ribosomal RNA", at positions 946 to 1709 of the family's 2925-position model. The record is from RNAcentral. Lineage: Eukaryota; Viridiplantae; Chlorophyta; Trebouxiophyceae; Trebouxiales; Trebouxiaceae.